This 397-nucleotide ribosomal RNA is filed under the name uncultured bacterium. RNAcentral describes it as "partial 16S ribosomal RNA". It matches the Rfam family "Bacterial small subunit ribosomal RNA", at positions 523 to 918 of the family's 1533-position model. The record is from RNAcentral.
AUACGUAGGUGGCGAGCGUUGUCCGGAAUUACUGGGCGUAAAGGAUGCGUAGGUGGAUACUUAAGUGGGAUGUGAAAUCCCCGGGCUCAACCCGGGAACUGCAUUCCAAACUGGGUAUCUAGAGUGCAGGAGAGGAAAGCGGAAUUCCUAGUGUAGCGGUGAAAUGCGUGGAUAUUAGGAGGAACACCAGUGGCGAAGGCGGCUUUCUGGACUGUAACUGACACUGAGGCAUGAAAGCGUGGGUAGCAAACAGGAUUAGAUCCCCUGGUGGUCCACGCCGUAAACGAUGGGUACUAGGUGUAGGAGGUAUCGACCCCUUCUGUGCCGUCGUUAACACAAUAAGUACCCCGCCUGGGGAGUACGGUCGCAAGACUAAAACUCAAAUGAAUUGACGGGG